Molecule: transfer RNA, 72 nt
Filed under: Camelus bactrianus (Bactrian camel)
Lineage: Eukaryota; Metazoa; Chordata; Mammalia; Artiodactyla; Camelidae
Also listed under: 2 other names
Rfam family: tRNA
About the family: Transfer RNA (tRNA) molecules are approximately 80 nucleotides in length. Their secondary structure includes four short double-helical elements and three loops (D, anti-codon, and T loops).
Source: Rfam by way of RNAcentral
GAGGGUAUAGCUCAGAGGUGGAGCACAUGCUUAGCAUGCAUGAGGUCCUGGGUUCAAUCUCCAGUACCGCCA